This 155-nucleotide ribosomal RNA is filed under the name uncultured eukaryote. RNAcentral's name for it is "partial 18S ribosomal RNA". It matches the Rfam family "Eukaryotic small subunit ribosomal RNA", at positions 1299 to 1458 of the family's 1831-position model. The record is from RNAcentral.
UGGUGGAGCGAUUUGUCUGGUUAAUUCCGAUAACGAGCGAGACCUCAGCCAGCUAACUAGUCCGCCGGUUCGUAUAUGCUUCGGCAUGAACCGGGAUUACGGGCUUCUUAGAGGGACUAUCACCGUGUAGGUGAUGGAAGUUUGAGGCAAUAACA